This 334-nucleotide RNase P RNA is filed under the name human gut metagenome. RNAcentral describes it as "Bacterial RNase P class B". It matches the Rfam family "Bacterial RNase P class B". Rfam says of the family: Ribonuclease P (RNase P) is a ubiquitous endoribonuclease, found in archaea, bacteria and eukarya as well as chloroplasts and mitochondria. The record is from RNAcentral.
UUCGGGUAAAUGCUGCAUACUUGUUAUGUAGAGGAAAGUCCACGCUCGCACUUUUCUGAGAUGAAAGUAGUGUUUGUGCUUAGGGAAAAAAUAACCUAAGGCAGUUUAACUGACGGCGUUGUUUAUGUCUAAGGGAAACUAUGAUAUAAAUGACAUAAAGUGCCACAGAAACGAGUUUAUUUAGAAAUAAGUAAAAUGAAACGAGGUAAACCCCGCAAGCGAGAAACUCAAAUUUUGGUAGAGGAACUGUUUUUUUGAGAAAUGAAUCUUAAAACGGAUGAUUAGUCAUAGAUAAAUAUUUACCGCCCUUUAGGGUACAAAACGUGGCUUAUAG